Molecule: non-coding RNA, 1463 nt
Organism: Pelobates cultripes (western spadefoot toad)
Lineage: Eukaryota; Metazoa; Chordata; Amphibia; Anura; Pelobatidae
Source: the annotation of a GenBank genome assembly
GUCAAGCAGUGGUCUGUUUAAUGAGGGCUACCUGCCCAGUAUUUAUGCAGGUCUCCCACCUGGUGGACACUCCCCUAGGGGACCAAAUGGGAGACUGUGACAAAAGACAGACAAUCAGCCAAACACAUUAUAUUCCCACAAUGCAUCCUGGCUUCCUCCCCUCUGCCUUGGAGAUAAUUGAGAAGUAAUUCAAUUAUCUCCCAAGACAAAGGCAAAUCGCCAUUAUGCACGUGGGGAUACUAACACAGGAAUUACUAUUAAAAUGCACUAUGUGAGACAUAUAACAUUAAAAGCAUACAUUUAACAUAUCCCCAGAUAGCUCAGGUCUGAGCGCACAUUAUUAAGCGAAUGGCGCUCAGACCACACGAAUACAGUUUAAUUGCCAAGGAGCUAAAGUCUUUACACAGUCAGUUUCAUGCGAAUGAGCUCCAUGGGAUUCCUAUCUGGGGUAUAACACAUUCAAGCAAAACUACCGAACACCGGGCCGUUCGUGCACUUUCACCGAACAAGAAGGGAGGUCGGCGGCUUCAGCGGUGUUCGCGCAAAACUGUGUCCGAUUUCAGUUCCAUGAAUUAAGCGUCGAACACCGCUGUGCAUUUGCAUGUUUAAAAUGGCCGCGACCUCGUGUUCGUGAUACGAAUGGCGGCCACCCAGCAUUCGUCAAUUAAGCUGGGGUGAACCGCAGCUUCAGGGAGGCUAAUUGCCGACGCACUCCAGCUCCCAGGUGGUCCAGUCAUUUGUGCGGUUGUUCGGUAGAUUGAAAAGAAUGAAUAAAUCUUUUCUGAAGGUAAAAAGAUGUCUUUUAACAGGGGGCCAUAGUCCAAAAGCAGCAGGUGAGCAACCAUGCUUCUCCAAUGCAAUGUGGCGAGAUUGGUCUCGUCACAGGGAGAUUCCUGUCAUUAUUCACGUAAUUUCCCCACCCUCUCUUGCCACAUUUCAAAGUGAGUCAAAGCAGUUGAAGUGGCCGCCAUUCGACAUUCGAACAUGUGGCGGCGGCCAUCUUAAGCUGCGAGUACCAUGAGUGCUGUUUGGUCGUCAAGUUCAUGGAACUCAAAUCGAACACGCAACGGCACAAACACCACUGAGUAGUUACCUUCCAGGAGUCGAACAGGAGUCGAACAGCAUUCGGUGAGUUGAAGUGCAGGAACAAGGGACGCACAUUGACUAUGGUCAUUCAUCGUUAUGUUCAGUAAUUCGAACGGUACUUCGACUGUUUAAAAUAGACCGGCCGCACAGCAUAAUUCUCUGGAACUGUUUUGGGCAUGAACCCAUGCGUGCGUUCUAUCAAAAAGAGAUUUCCAGGAAUUUCCUGAACCCCUGCUCUGAUUUGGGUGACUUUUAUGGGGAUAUGUUGUAUUUUGGGGUAUUUAUUGUGUGUUUUAUUUCUGCCUGGGGAUAAUUGAGUUAAGGUAAAACACUUUUGAUAAAGCCUUUCCAAGGAAUGUAUUGUUUAUAACUUUUUU